GAUGAAGAACGUAGCGAAAUGCGAUAAGUAAUGUGAAUUGCAGAAUUCAGUGAAUCAUCGAAUCUUUGAACGCACAUUGCGCCCCCUGGUAUUCCGGGGGGCAUGCCUGUUCGAGCGUCAUUUCACCACUCAAGCCUCGCUUGGUAUUUGGCAACGCGGUCCGCCGCGUGCCUCAAAUCGACCGGCUGGGUCUUCUGUCCCCUAAGCGUUGUGGAAACUAUUCGCUAAAGGGUGUUCGGGAGGCUACGCCGUAAAACAACCCCAUUUCUAAGGUUGACCUCGGAUCAGGUAGGGAUACCCGCUGAACUUAAGCAUAUCAAUAAGCGGAGGA
RNAcentral lists this unclassified non-coding RNA (331 nucleotides) under soil metagenome. RNAcentral's name for it is "partial contains 5.8S ribosomal RNA, internal transcribed spacer 2, and large subunit ribosomal RNA". The stretch from base 1 to 120 matches the Rfam family "5.8S ribosomal RNA", at positions 35 to 154 of the family's 154-position model. The record is from RNAcentral.